GAGAGAGAGAGAGAGAGAGAGAGAGAGACUCACUGUAAAUUGCCAGUAUUUUUUAUAUGCGCUUUAUUUAUAUUCUCUCCUCUCCAUGUUUGUAUUCGGACACUCAGUGUUAUAAGUAAUGUUUGUUAAUCACAGUUCUGUUCCAUGGAAUGCUUUGGGAAUUCUCUACAUGUUUACGGUCACGCCAGUGAAGCUUACUGAACUGAACUGAGCUCAAGACCAGCAGCUGGAACUCCUCCUUUCCUUCUCUGGAUAUCAGUUGAAAGUGAAAGUCAGCAGGUCGUUUCGGGGAAACACAUCGCAUAUCAGCCAGAGGAGGAUGUCCACUAGGAGAGUCAGGAGCAAAAUGACAGCGGAGGUGCGUGCACUGCUGAGCACCUGAGACUUCAGGGCAGUUGACAAUGCGGCCCUAAGAACAGUGAGGGCCAAACUGUCCCUGACUAUCAAAGAGGCAAAGUGCGCAUACGGCCAGAAAAUCCAUGGUCACUUCAUGCUUAGCGGUGACUCGUGGUGCAUGUGAAAGGGCAUUCAGGCCAUCAGCAACUAUUGGACAUCAC
This is a long non-coding RNA of Ictalurus punctatus (channel catfish), 557 nucleotides long. NCBI's taxonomy places the organism in Eukaryota, Metazoa, Chordata, Actinopteri, Siluriformes, Ictaluridae. The record is from Ensembl.